Molecule: long non-coding RNA, 172 nt
Organism: Micropterus dolomieu (smallmouth bass)
Lineage: Eukaryota; Metazoa; Chordata; Actinopteri; Centrarchiformes; Centrarchidae
Exons: 3
Source: RefSeq, a predicted model, not a curated record
UUAAGGCCUACUUUGGAGACUUAUUAGAAAUACUUUGUAAGGCUGUCGUUGUAGGCUCAGCUGCAGCUGGUAUGUCUGCGGGGGUCACUGGAGCUGUGGCCACUGUUGGAGGAACAAUGGGAUGGCUGCUGUCAUCCAUUUGUGACCAAAAUGAAACCCACUAAAGAUUUAC